This 171-nucleotide non-coding RNA is filed under the name human gut metagenome. The record is from RNAcentral.
GGCUGCAAUUAUGCAUUAAUAGGGAAUGCGGUUAGAAUCCGCAGCAGUCCCCGCUACUGUGUGAAGGACGAAAAUCUGCCGGACAUGUUUAUGUCGGUCACUGAUAAUUUCGGGAAGACUAUGCAGAUUAUUAGGUUGAUUUCAAGCCAGGAGACCUGCCGUAAAAGUAUU